This 498-nucleotide ribosomal RNA is filed under the name uncultured bacterium. Its description in RNAcentral is "partial 16S ribosomal RNA". It matches the Rfam family "Bacterial small subunit ribosomal RNA", at positions 30 to 523 of the family's 1533-position model. The record is from RNAcentral.
AUUGAACGCUGGCGGCAUGCCCUACACAUGCAAGUCGAACGGUAACAGAUCUUCGGAUGCUGACGAGUGGCGAACGGGUGAGUAAUACAUCGGAACGUGCCCGAUCGUGGGGGAUAACGAAGCGAAAGCUUUGCUAAUACCGCAUACGAUCUGCGGAUGAAAGCAGGGGACCGCAAGGCCUUGCGCGAACGGAGCGGCCGAUGGGAGGUUGGGUAGUUGGUGGGAUAAAAGAUUACCAAGCCGGCGAUCUGUAGCGGGUCUGAGAGGACGACCAGCCCCACUGGGACUGAGACACGGCCCAGACUCCUACGGGGGGCCACAGUGGGGAAUUUUUGACAAUGGGCGAAAGCCUGAUCCAGCCAUGCCGCGGUCAGGAUGAAGGCCUUCGGGUUGUAAACUGCUUUUGGACGGAACGAAAAGACUCUGGUUAAUACCUGGGGUCCAUGACGGUACCGUAAGAAUAAGCACCGGCUAACUACGUGCCAGCCGCCGCGGUAA